GGUAUAGCCAAGCGGUAAGGCACCGGACUUUGACUCCGUCAUUCGCAGGUUCGAGUCCUGCUACC
This 65-nucleotide transfer RNA is filed under the name uncultured Eubacterium sp. It matches the Rfam family "tRNA". From Rfam's summary of the family: Transfer RNA (tRNA) molecules are approximately 80 nucleotides in length. The record is from RNAcentral. Lineage: Bacteria; Bacillati; Bacillota; Clostridia; Eubacteriales; Eubacteriaceae.